This is a long non-coding RNA of Notothenia coriiceps (black rockcod), 279 nucleotides long. RefSeq lists it as uncharacterized. The transcript has 3 exons. The record is from RefSeq and is a predicted model, not a curated record. Lineage: Eukaryota; Metazoa; Chordata; Actinopteri; Perciformes; Nototheniidae.
AGAUUAUCUGGUUUAUAAACUGGACACACAACAGUCACUGAACAAGGAGAAGCAAGAAUUCAACGGCAGAUUCAAUUCUCUACAUGUCCAACAUCAGAUGCUAAAGAACCAGCAUGACGACCUGAAGAAGCAGUAUUACGGUCUUCAGGAGCAGCACCAGGUUGAGGGCGACGACCACAAUCGGCUGCUGGACGAACACAAAGAGCACUACGAGAAACUGAACCAGGCUAAAGAAGGAGAAAUCACCCACCUCAAAGGUACGGUCGGACGGUCACUCAG